This 532-nucleotide ribosomal RNA is filed under the name Cladosporium sp. CF1. RNAcentral's name for it is "eukaryotic LSU rRNA". The stretch from base 178 to 331 matches the Rfam family "5.8S ribosomal RNA". The record is from RNAcentral. Lineage: Eukaryota; Fungi; Ascomycota; Dothideomycetes; Cladosporiales; Cladosporiaceae.
GACCUGCGGAGGGAUCAUUACAAGUGACCCCGGAUCUAACCACCGGGAUGUUCAUAACCCUUUGUUGUCCGACUCUGUUGCCUCCGGGGCGACCCUGCCUUCGGGCGGGGGCUCCGGGUGGACACUUCAAACUCUUGCGUAACUUUGCAGUCUGAGUAAACUUAAUUAAUAAAUUAAAACUUUUAACAACGGAUCUCUUGGUUCUGGCAUCGAUGAAGAACGCAGCGAAAUGCGAUAAGUAAUGUGAAUUGCAGAAUUCAGUGAAUCAUCGAAUCUUUGAACGCACAUUGCGCCCCCUGGUAUUCCGGGGGGCAUGCCUGUUCGAGCGUCAUUUCACCACUCAAGCCUCGCUUGGUAUUGGGCAACGCGGUCCGCCGCGUGCCUCAAAUCGACCGGCUGGGUCUUCUGUCCCCUAAGCGUUGUGGAAACUAUUCGCUAAAGGGUGCUCGGGAGGCUACGCCGUAAAACAAACCCAUUUCUAAGGUUGACCUCGGAUCAGGUAGGGAUACCCGCUGAACUUAAGCAUAUCAUA